This 237-nucleotide ribosomal RNA is filed under the name uncultured bacterium. RNAcentral's name for it is "partial 16S ribosomal RNA". It matches the Rfam family "Bacterial small subunit ribosomal RNA", at positions 115 to 353 of the family's 1533-position model. The record is from RNAcentral.
GUCUGGGAAACUGCCUGAUGGAGGGGGAUAACUACUGGAAACGGUAGCUAAUACCGCAUAACGUCGCAAGACCAAANAGGGGGACCUUCGGGCCUCUUGCCAUCGGAUGUGCCCAGAUGGGAUUAGCUAGUAGGUGGGGUAACGGCUCACCUAGGCGACGAUCCCUAGCUGGUCUGAGAGGAUGACCAGCCACACUGGAACUGAGACACGGUCCAGACUCCUACGGGAGGCAGCAUG